Molecule: ribosomal RNA, 1255 nt
Filed under: Septobasidium alni
Lineage: Eukaryota; Fungi; Basidiomycota; Pucciniomycetes; Septobasidiales; Septobasidiaceae
Description: eukaryotic LSU rRNA
Rfam family: Eukaryotic large subunit ribosomal RNA
Source: RNAcentral
AACAAGGAUUCCCCCAGUAACGGCGAGUGAAGAGGGAACAGCCCAAAUUUGUAAUCUGGCCCUUUCAGGGUCCGAGUUGUAAUCUCGAGAACUGUUUUCCGUGCUGGACCGCGUACAAGUCUGUUGGAACAUAGCUUCAUAGAGGGUGAGAAUCCCGURCAUGACGCGGACUACCAGUACAAUGUGAUACAGUCUCUAAGAGUCGAGUUGUUUGGGAAUGCAGCUCAAAAUGGGUGGUAAAUUCCAUCUAAGGCUAAAUAUUGGCGAGAGACCGAUAGCGAACAAGUACCGUGAGGGAAAGAUGAAAAGCACUUUGGAAAGAGAGUUAACAGUACGUGAAAUUGUUGAAAGGGAAACGCUUGAAGUCAGUCUUGUACUUGGUUGUUCAGCCCUCGGGUGUAUUCAACCAUGAACAGGCCAGCAUCAGUUUCGGAUGUCGGAUAAGGGUAAAGGAAACGUAGCAGUCUCGGCUGUGUUAUAGUCCUCUACUUGAUACACGUCUGGGACUGAGGAACGCAGUGAGCCUUUUGGCGGGUCCUCGGACUUCUCACUAUGGAUGCUGGCGUAAUGGCUUUAAACGACCCGUCUUGAAACACGGACCAAGGAGUCUAACAUGCUUGCGAGUGUUUGGGUGUCAAACCCGGACGCGUAAUGAAAGUGAAUGUAGGUGGGAAUCGCAAGAUGCACCAUCGACCGGUCCAGAUUUUUAAUGACGGAUCUGAGUAAGAGCAAGUAUGUUGGGACCCGAAAGAUGGUGAACUAUGCCUGAAUAGGGUGAAGCCAGAGGAAACUCUGGUGGAGGCUCGUAGCGGUUCUGACGUGCAAAUCGAUCGUCGAAUUUGGGUAUAGGGGCGAAAGACUAAUCGAACCAUCUACUGGUGGUUUAGAGGCAAAUGUAUUUGUCUAGUGGACAGGAGGCCUGCAACAUCGUCAAAUUGUCGGGGACGCCCUAAAGCUUUGCACACCAAGCCUUCUACAGAAAUGCAGAGGUGGCCACGUUAAUAACGUUGGGUAUGGUAACAGCGGCAGAGAUGAACAAUGGGUAACCUGCAGCCAAAUCCUAAUCUUUGUUUACUACAAGCAAAGUAGGGAUGCAGUUCACAGACUAAAUGUCGAUGGGCAGAGUAAACACUCUGUUUAAGUUAUAGUCGGACCUCCUGGGUGACCAGGCUGAAAGAGGAAGGCACAAUAUCCCCCUUAUAUAUUGUUGCCCGGAGCUUUCAGACACUAUGCAUUCGCAUAAGUGUUGGAGUAA